Molecule: ribosomal RNA, 253 nt
Filed under: uncultured bacterium
Lineage: Bacteria
Description: partial 16S ribosomal RNA
Rfam family: Bacterial small subunit ribosomal RNA
Source: RNAcentral
UACGUAGGGGGCGAGCGUUGUCCGGAUUUAUUGGGCGUAAAGAGCGUGUAGGCGGCCAGGUAGGUCUGCUGUGAAAACUCGAGGCUCAACCUCGAGACGUCGGCGGAAACCAUCUGGCUAGAGUCCGGAAGAGGGGAGUGGAAUUCCUGGUGUAGCGGUGAAAUGCGCAGAUAUCAGGAGGAACACCGAUAGCGAAGGCAGCUCGCUGGGACGGUACUGACGCUGAGGCGCGAAAGCGUGGGGAGCGAACAGG